RNAcentral lists this transfer RNA (74 nucleotides) under Elusimicrobia bacterium RIFOXYD2_FULL_34_15. Its description in RNAcentral is "tRNA-Arg". It matches the Rfam family "tRNA". Rfam says of the family: Transfer RNA (tRNA) molecules are approximately 80 nucleotides in length. The record is from RNAcentral. Lineage: Bacteria; Pseudomonadati; Elusimicrobiota.
ACCCCUGUAGCUCAGCUGGAUAGAGCAUCGGUUUCCUAAACCGGUUGUCGGAGGUUCAAAUCCUCUCAGGGGUA